RNAcentral lists this ribosomal RNA (479 nucleotides) under uncultured bacterium. RNAcentral's name for it is "partial 16S rRNA". It matches the Rfam family "Bacterial small subunit ribosomal RNA", at positions 1000 to 1482 of the family's 1533-position model. The record is from RNAcentral.
CCANAGAUGGUUUGGUNCCUUCGGGAGCAUUGANACAGGUGCNGCAUGGCUGUCGUCAGCUNGUGUCGUGANAUGUGGGUUAAGUCCCGUANCGAGCGCAACCCUUGUCNUUAGUUUCCAGCACGUUAUGGUGGCACUCUAAGGAGACUGCCGGUGACAAACCGGAGAAGGUGGGGAUGACGUCAAGUCAUCAUGCCCUUNCGGCCUGGGCUACACACGUGNUACAAUGGUCGGUACAGAGGGUUGCCAAGCCGCGAGGUGGAGCUAAUCCCACAAACCCGAUCGUAGUCCGGAUCGCAGUCUGCAACUCGACUGCGUGAAGUCGGAAUCGCUAGUAAUCGCGAAUCAGAAUGUCGCGGUGAAUACGUUCCCGGGCCUUGUACACACCGCCCGUCACACCAUGGGAGUGGGUUGCACCAGAAGUAGCUAGUCUAACCUUCGGGGGGNCGGUUACCACGGUGUGAUUCAUGACUGGGGUG